AGCGAUCCUCCUGCCUCAGCCUCCUGAGUAGCUGGGACUACAGUUUGCUUGCAAAGGAACGCUCCAGUCACCUGCCUGAGGAACAGACCCUGGGCUGCCAGUAUUCUUGGAGCCCAGGGCACACUGAGUGACACUAGGAUGUCCCACGUGACUUUAUUGAGUAAAGCGAUAGUGCAGAGCUAGCAAAGAGCUCUUCUGUAGGCAAAGCCACACAAAGUCAUCCACAUCUCCCACCUGGUUCCUUUUGUGAGCCUUCCAGGUUCACACGUCAGGAAACCCCACGCAGACAUAUUUAGUGACCCACGCUACAUACUUAGCUUUGGUGAAGGGCCCACAUGUGGGUAUUUGUAGCAUAGGCCGCACUGGGGCAUGAUGAGGAGGGCAGAUCUAACCCUUGCCCAGAACACUCUUGGACAACGUCAGGCUCACUAACAUAACAAGUAGAACAGGCACGAAAUACCUACGACCACAGGCAACAGGUGCAAAACCUAGACCAAAGGCCAGCUGCUAGCCUGUCAGUGAAGUUUUCUCAUUAAUAAUAUGAAAAUCCACUAAGUCUUGGAAGAUAGUCUUCCAACAGAAAAAUGCUUGUUAGCAGGACAUGGGCCCUAUGUCCAGAGCCACCUUAGAUAAACAGUAGACAUGCUGUGCCCCACAGCAGCUUGGCCGGGAGCUGCCACCUGCAUUCUGCCCUCAUCCUGGCAUAGAAUCCACACAGUGGCCAUCUAAACGCAGGCCCUGGGGCCCAAACAGCCUCUGGUGGCGUCAGAGAGCAGGUGGUCUCCCUGUGGGGAAGCCAGCCUUCAGCACGGUCCGCCUGGCCUCUGGAAAACAACAAGCAUGGUCCCACUCAUGGCAGGGAGAAGCUAAGGGUGUGUGGCCCAUGGCUGGCACCGGUGAGGGCAAAGUGGGCCACCCCAGGCACUGCCCCCUCAGAGCCCAGUGUAGAUGCAGAACAUUCCAACAGCAGAGUGCAGGCAUCGCACCCGUGCAGGUGAACUCUGCUUUCCGCACAAGAGUGCAUCGAAACAUCCUUACACCUCAAGUCUCACUUUGAGCCCCCUAAAGCACUGCUGUUUAAGCACAUCAUCUCUGUAAAACGCAUCAUUCCCUCCACGGCUUCUCCUCCUCCCCACGACACACACAGUCGAUCUGUUCUUCAAAGAUUCAGAGUCUGGACACCAGAUAUGCUGCCAAGGACAGUCACCUACUUUGGAACUAAUUUUUUAAAACAACAAUAAGAAGAAGACUUCCCAGCUCCCUGGACAGCCAUGCAGAAGUGCCUGGAAGCAAAGGCACAGCCUAGAGGACAGCCAUUGAAAGAGCCCAAUGAAGAAACAGCGUUCACUGAAGAAGACAGAGGCACAGAAAGGGCAUGAAGAAGCAUCUCCUUCAGCUUUCUCAUCACUGCAGCAGGCCAGCAGCUCUGGAAACCUUGCCUCCUGUACUCUGAACCCAAAGGAACUCCAAGGAAGCAGCAAGAAAUCUGCAAGGGAGGGGAGGAGGCAGAGGGGGAGCUAGAACAUUCAGGUGCAGGAGUCCCUACCCCUGGGGCUGGGUAGCCCCGAGAUGCAAUCUGAGAUAACAACCGUAGGCCUAGGCUCAGAGCCAGUGACAUUAAUAAAAAAAAAAAAAAGAAAAGAAAAGAAAGAAAGAAAGAAACACUGAUAAAUCCUGAAAACUAAAUUAACAGCAGGAUCGCAGCCCAGUAACUGCAUGUAAUUACACAGCGUGCCUUGCCUCGCACAAAGAGCUCCCCAGCUUCCCGGGGACGGUUUUACACAGGGGCUUGCAGAGGCAGUGAGGGGACGAGCCAGGUGUGGGGCCAGCUUAACCUGGAGCCCCAGGAGCUUGGGGGACCUGGAUCCUGACCUGUGGGGGGACAAGUUUUGUCCCAGUAAAGUCCCCCAAAUAAAGGCAGAGUUGUCAGAAUAGAGGUGAGGCUCUUCCCACCAGCACCCCUUAUUCCAACCAUCACAGGAAUAUUCUAGAAACCUGCGGGCUGAGGCCCCCAGCUCCCCAGCUCUCCCUCCCUCCAGCCAGCAGCUAACAGAUUGCUCCUGUUUAACAGAGACAGCUGAUUAACUGGCCUUCUCAGGAAGUGGGGGUGCAGAGAGGGAAACCUCACAGGAUCUAGAAUAUUUCUCCUACUUGAGCACCUCGCAAUGGGCCUUCUCUUUGAAGACGUGGUCACAUGUGUGCACACACGUGGGUGUCAUGUGUGGGAGGUUGGGGGAUGGUGUCCCACCCUACUUCUUCAAUGGGUUGGCCAUACAAAGAGGUGGCCAAGAGUUCCACGGCUUAGUCCCAGUUCUGCUACCAUGACUUUGAGCAAGUCUCUUAUCCUCCUUUAAGAUCAAGUUCUGCAUCUGUAGCUUCUCCCCUCCAGCCCACUCAAACUGGUGGGUCUCAGAAAGAGGACCUAUUUUAGAGGCUGCUGUUUUCUUACCUAAUAGCCAUUCUCUCCCUGUAACUUAGAAACCUGGGUGAUUAACCUACCUGGAAAAGUACAUUUCUCAGACAAACUUGAAGAUAGAAAUGGCUAAUAGGAUGGAUGUGUGCAGUAGUUUUUGAGUGAGAUCUUUACAAAGUCCUUGCGAUAGCUUGAGCUCCAGCAGCCAUUUUGUGCCACAAAGAUGCUAAGCUAAGGAUGAUGGUGGAACAGAGUGAUAGAAGAUCCAGAUAACUGUGGAUAUUUCAUAUUGGCCCUGAACUGUGUACCUAUAGGCUUCCUUUACAUGAGAAAAUAAAUAAACUUUGAAAUUACUUAAGUCACUGCUGUCUAUAGUCUCUGUUACUAACAACUAAACACAAUUUCUAAGUGAUUCAGGGUCUGUAUGCAUUUAUAUUUAUAACCUACUCAUCAGCUACUCAACAGGUUCAGCACCUUCCACCAUCAACUACACAAAAUUCCAUGAAGGUCAUAAAUCUAGAACCAAUGAAGAAACCUUAAUACACAAAAUUUCAUUAAUAAAACUAAAAAA
This is a non-coding RNA of Microcebus murinus (gray mouse lemur), 2984 nucleotides long. The record is from RefSeq and is a predicted model, not a curated record. Lineage: Eukaryota; Metazoa; Chordata; Mammalia; Primates; Cheirogaleidae.